AACCGGCGCACGGGUGAGUAACACGUGGACAACCUGCCCUGGAAACUGGGAUAACCCGUCGAAAGACGGACUAAUACCGGAUAAGACCACGGGGAGUUCGCUCUCUGGGGUAAAAGGUGGCCUCUGCUCCUGCAAGCUAUCAUUCGAGGAGGGGUUCGCGGCCUAUCAGCUUGUUGGUGAGGUAACGGCUCACCAAGGCUUUGAUCGUUAGCCGGUCUGAGAGGAUGGCCGGCCACACUGGAACUGAGACACGGUCCAGACUCCUACGGGAGGCAGCAGUGGGGAAUCUUGCGCAAUGGGCGAAAGCCUGACGCAGCGACGCCGCGUGGGGGAUGACGCUUUUCGGAGUGUAAACCCCUUUCGAUCGGGACGAAUGCCCCGCAAGGGGAGUGACGGUACCGGUAGAAGAAGCCCCGGCUAACUACGUGCCAGCAGCCGCGGUAAGACGUAGGGGGCCAGCGUUGCUCGGAAUUACUGGGCGUAAAGGGUUCGUAGGCGGUGCGGCAAGUUGGGAGUGAAAUCUCUGGGCUUAACCCAGAGGCUGCUUCCAAAACUGCCGUGCUAGAGUGCGAGAGAGGCCAGUGGAAUUGCAGGUGUAGCGGUGAAAUGCGUAGAUAUCUGCAGGAACACCCGUGGCGAAGGCGGCUGGCUGGAUCGCAAC
RNAcentral lists this ribosomal RNA (661 nucleotides) under uncultured bacterium. RNAcentral's name for it is "bacterial SSU rRNA". It matches the Rfam family "Bacterial small subunit ribosomal RNA", at positions 93 to 740 of the family's 1533-position model. The record is from RNAcentral.